GGGUGAGUAACACGUAGGGAACCUGCCCGCGCACCGGGAAUACGCUCUGGAAACGGAGAACAAAUCCCGAUGUACAGGAAGGAGGCAUCUUCUUUCUGUGAAACAUCCUUUAGGGGAUGGGGCGCGGAUGGACCUGCGGUGCAUUAGUUGGUUGGCGGGGUAAAGGCCCACCAAGACGAUGAUGCAUAGCCGGCCUGAGAGGGCGGACGGCCACAUUGGGACUGAGACACGGCCCAGACUCCUGCGGGAGGCAGCAGUAGGGAAUUUUCGUCAAUGGGCGCAAGCCUGAACGAGCGAUGCCGCGUGAGUGAAGAAGGCCUUCGGGUCGUAAAGCUCUGUUGCGGGGGAAAAAAGGCAGCAUCAGGAAAUGGGUGCUGACUGAUGGUGCCCCGCCAGAAAGUCACGGCUAACUACGUGCCAGCAGCCGCGGUAAUACGUAGGUGGCGAGCGUUAUCCGGAAUGAUUGGGCGUAAAGGGUGCGCAGGCGGUCCUGCAAGUCUGGAGUGAAACGCAUGAGCUCAACUCAUGCAUGGCUUUGGAAACUGGAGGACUGGAGAGCAGGAGAGGGCGGUGGAACUCCAUGUGUAGCGGUAAAAUGCGUAGACAUAUGGAAGAACACCAGUGGCGAAGGCGGCCGCCUGGCCUGUUGCUGACGCUGAGGCACGAAAGCGUGGGGAGCAAAUAGGAUUAGAUACCCUAGUAGUCCACGCCGUAAACGAAG
This 721-nucleotide ribosomal RNA is filed under the name uncultured bacterium. Its description in RNAcentral is "bacterial SSU rRNA". It matches the Rfam family "Bacterial small subunit ribosomal RNA", at positions 104 to 811 of the family's 1533-position model. The record is from RNAcentral.